RNAcentral lists this ribosomal RNA (440 nucleotides) under uncultured bacterium. RNAcentral describes it as "partial 16S ribosomal RNA". It matches the Rfam family "Bacterial small subunit ribosomal RNA", at positions 339 to 795 of the family's 1533-position model. The record is from RNAcentral.
CUACGGGACGCAGCAGUGGGGAAUAUUGCACAAUGGAGGAAACUCUGAUGCAGCAACGCCGCGUGGAGGAUGACACUUUUCGGAGCGUAAACUCCUUUUAUAUAGGAAGAUAAUGACGGUACUAUAUGAAUAAGCACCGGCUAACUCCGUGCCAGCAGCCGCGGUGAAUACGGAGGGUGCAAGCGUUACUCGGAAUCACUGGGCGUAAAGAGCGUGUAGGCGGAUAGAUAAGUCAGGAGUGAAAUCCUAUGGCUCAACCAUAGAACUGCUCUUGAAACUGUCUAUCUAGAAUAUGGGAGAGGUAGAUGGAAUUUCUGGUGUAGGGGUAAAAUCCGUAGAGAUCAGAAGGAAUACCGAUUGCGAAGGCGAUCUACUGGAACAUUAUUGACGCUGAGACGCGAAAGCGUGGGGAGCAAACAGGAUUAGAUACCCCUGUAGUC